Molecule: non-coding RNA, 91 nt
Organism: Mycena galericulata
Lineage: Eukaryota; Fungi; Basidiomycota; Agaricomycetes; Agaricales; Mycenaceae
Source: the annotation of a GenBank genome assembly
GGCCCAGUAGCACAUGCUGUGCAUCUGCUUCAGCUCGACAGAAUGACAGCUUUUCAGCAGAAGGUCCCCUGUGCGACUCGGGGCUGGGCCA